CCUUUUCUGUAGUUGUUUUGCUGAGUAGUUGCUACUCUCUGUUGUUUUGAGGAUUGGGCAACCGUCUGGAUUAAGGGCCGUGUUGAAAUUGCGUGUCCGAUGACUCGCUUUUGGCAUCUCGCCUGCCCCCACUGUUAUCAUCCAUACGAUUUUUCCACUACCUUAGGGAUCCGGUGCCUUCUUGCGGCUUGGGAAUGUAUAUUUUCCAAGGUUCAUUCCAUGUUUGGUAUUAGUUAGUUGCUUUGGUUCCAAUUAGUCUUUUUUUCAAAUGGCUGAGAGCGUUUUGUUUUCUCCUGCUGGUUAUUUCCUUUCGCUUGCGUAGGG
RNAcentral lists this long non-coding RNA (324 nucleotides) under Coffea arabica (coffee). RNAcentral's name for it is "long non-coding RNA (CARA_LNC002919)". The record is from RNAcentral. Lineage: Eukaryota; Viridiplantae; Streptophyta; Magnoliopsida; Gentianales; Rubiaceae.